This 84-nucleotide non-coding RNA is filed under the name Halobacillus aidingensis. Lineage: Bacteria; Bacillati; Bacillota; Bacilli; Caryophanales; Bacillaceae. The record is from RNAcentral.
UAACCUUCUCAGUGAUGAGGAGCUGAACCGGCAGAAGUCAGCCGAAGUCGUAGUAUUUGGUAGCUUAAGAUGCCAAAGAAGGAC